CGCGGGGUAGAGCAAUGGUAGCUCGUCAGGCCCAUAACCUGAAGGCUGAUGGUUCAAGUCCAUUCCCCGCAACCA
Molecule: transfer RNA, 75 nt
Filed under: Bacillota bacterium
Lineage: Bacteria; Bacillati; Bacillota
Description: tRNA-Met
Rfam family: tRNA
About the family: Transfer RNA (tRNA) molecules are approximately 80 nucleotides in length.
Source: RNAcentral